UACGGAGGAUGCAAGCGUUAUCCGGAAUGAUUGGGCGUAAAGGGUCCGCAGGUGGUAGUGUAAGUCUGCUGUUAAAGAGUCACGCUCAACGUGAUAAAAGCAGUGGAAACUACACAACUAGAGUACGGUAGGGGCAGAAGGAAUUCCUGGUGUAGCGGUGAAAUGCGUAGAUAUCAGGAAGAACACCGGUGGCGAAAGCGUUCUGCUAGACCUGUACUGACACUGAGGGACGAAAGCUAGGGGAGCGAAUGGG
Molecule: ribosomal RNA, 253 nt
Filed under: uncultured bacterium
Lineage: Bacteria
Description: partial 16S ribosomal RNA
Rfam family: Bacterial small subunit ribosomal RNA
Source: RNAcentral